GCGCCCAUAGCUCAGUGGAUAGAGCAACGGUCUUCUAAACCGUGUGUCGCAGGUUCGAAUCCUGCUGGGCGCG
This 73-nucleotide transfer RNA is filed under the name Thermosporothrix hazakensis. It matches the Rfam family "tRNA". From Rfam's summary of the family: Transfer RNA (tRNA) molecules are approximately 80 nucleotides in length. Their secondary structure includes four short double-helical elements and three loops (D, anti-codon, and T loops). Lineage: Bacteria; Bacillati; Chloroflexota; Ktedonobacteria; Ktedonobacterales; Thermosporotrichaceae. RNAcentral also lists the same sequence under 1 other name. The record is from Rfam by way of RNAcentral.